CAACGCCGGAAAUCUCACCGGGGGCGACAGCGAUAUGAAGGUCAGGCUGAAGACCUUACCCGAUUAGCUGAGAGGUGGUGCAUGGCCGUCGUCAGUUCGUACUGUGAAGCAUCCUGUUAAGUCAGGCAACGAGCGAGACCCACAUCCACAGUUGCCAGCAUAUUCUCCGGAAUGAUGGGUACACUGUGGAGACCGCCGCUGCUAAAGCGGAGGAAGGAGUGGGCAACGGUAGGUCAGUAUGCCCCGAAUCUCCCGGGCUACACGCGGGCUACAAUGGUUGGUACAAUGGGCAUCUACCCCGAAAGGGGAAGGUAAUCUCUUAAAACCAAUCGUAGUUCGGAUUGAGGGCUGCAACUCGCCCUCAUGAAGCUGGAAUCUGUAGUAAUCGCGUUUCAACAGAACGCGGUGAAUACGUCCCUGCUCCUUGCACACACCGCCCGUCAAACCACCCGAGUAGGGUCUGGAUGAGGGUGUGUUAUUUUGACACAUUCGAAUCCGGGCUUUGCAAGGGGGGUU
This 516-nucleotide ribosomal RNA is filed under the name uncultured archaeon. RNAcentral's name for it is "bacterial SSU rRNA". It matches the Rfam family "Archaeal small subunit ribosomal RNA", at positions 913 to 1429 of the family's 1478-position model. The record is from RNAcentral.